GACGUAGGGGGCGAGCGUUGUCCGGAUUUACUGGGCGUAAAGCGCGUGCAGGCGGUCUGUUAAGUCCCGUGUUAAAGCCUCCGGCUCAACCGGAGAACGCCGCGGGAUACUGGCGGGCUUGAGGAUGGUAGAGGGCGAUGGAAUUCCCGGUGUAGCGGUGAAAUGCGUAGAUAUCGGGAGGAACGCCAGUGGCGAAGGCGGUUGCCUGGGCCAUUCCUGACGCUGAGACGCGAAAGCUGGGGGAGCGAACGGG
This 253-nucleotide ribosomal RNA is filed under the name uncultured bacterium. Its description in RNAcentral is "partial 16S ribosomal RNA". It matches the Rfam family "Bacterial small subunit ribosomal RNA", at positions 524 to 776 of the family's 1533-position model. The record is from RNAcentral.